This 1790-nucleotide ribosomal RNA is filed under the name Salmonella enterica subsp. enterica serovar Typhi. RNAcentral's name for it is "partial 23S ribosomal RNA". It matches the Rfam family "Bacterial large subunit ribosomal RNA", at positions 772 to 2543 of the family's 2925-position model. Lineage: Bacteria; Pseudomonadati; Pseudomonadota; Gammaproteobacteria; Enterobacterales; Enterobacteriaceae. The record is from RNAcentral.
GACCGAACCGACUAAUGUUGAAAAAUUAGCGGAUGACCUGUGGCUGGGGGUGAAAGGCCAAUCAAACCGGGAGAUAGCUGGUUCUCCCCGAAAGCUAUUUAGGUAGCGCCUCGUGAAUUCAUCUCCGGGGGUAGAGCACUGUUUCGGCUAGGGGGCCAUCCCGGCUUACCAACCCGAUGCAAACUGCGAAUACCGGAGAAUGUUAUCACGGGAGACACACGGCGGGUGCUAAUGUCCGUCGUGAAGAGGGAAACAACCCAGACCGCCAGCUAAGGUCCCAAAGUCAUGGUUAAGUGGGAAACGAUGUGGGAAGGCCCAGACAGCCAGGAUGUUGGCUUAGAAGCAGCCAUCAUUUAAAGAAAGCGUAAUAGCUCACUGGUCGAGUCGGCCUGCGCGGAAGAUGUAACGGGGCUAAACCAUGCACCGAAGCUGCGGCAGCGACACCGUGUGUUGUUGGGUAGGGGAGCGUUCUGUAAGCCUGUGAAGGUGUGCUGUGAGGCAUGCUGGAGGUAUCAGAAGUGCGAAUGCUGACAUAAGUAACGAUAAAGCGGGUGAAAAGCCCGCUCGCCGGAAGACCAAGGGUUCCUGUCCAACGUUAAUCGGGGCAGGGUGAGUCGACCCCUAAGGCGAGGCCGAAAGGCGUAGUCGAUGGGAAACGGGUUAAUAUUCCCGUACUUGGUGUUACUGCGAAGGGGGGACGGAGAAGGCUAUGUUGGCCGGGCGACGGUUGUCCCGGUUUAAGCGUGUAGGUAUGUGUUCCAGGUAAAUCCGGUUCACUUUAACACUGAGGCGUGACGACGAGGCACUACGGUGCUGAAGCAACAAAUGCCCUGCUUCCAGGAAAAGCCUCUAAGCAUCAGGUAACAUCAAAUCGUACCCCAAACCGACACAGGUGGUCAGGUAGAGAAUACCAAGGCGCUUGAGAGAACUCGGGUGAAGGAACUAGGCAAAAUGGUGCCGUAACUUCGGGAGAAGGCACGCUGACACGUAGGUGAAGUGAUUUACUCACGGAGCUGAAGUCAGCCGAAGAUACCAGCUGGCUGCAACUGUUUAUUAAAAACACAGCACUGUGCAAACACGAAAGUGGACGUAUACGGUGUGACGCCUGCCCGGUGCCGGAAGGUUAAUUGAUGGGGUCAGCGCAAGCGAAGCUCCUGAUCGAAGCCCCGGUAAACGGCGGCCGUAACUAUAACGGUCCUAAGGUAGCGAAAUUCCUUGUCGGGUAAGUUCCGACCUGCACGAAUGGCGUAAUGAUGGCCAGGCUGUCUCCACCCGAGACUCAGUGAAAUUGAACUCGCUGUGAAGAUGCAGUGUACCCGCGGCAAGACGGAAAGACCCCGUGAACCUUUACUAUAGCUUGACACUGAACAUUGAGCCUUGAUGUGUAGGAUAGGUGGGAGGCUUUGAAGUGUGGACGCCAGUCUGCAUGGAGCCGACCUUGAAAUACCACCCUUUAAUGUUUGAUGUUCUAACGUGGACCCGUGAUCCGGGUUGCGGACAGUGUCUGGUGGGUAGUUUGACUGGGGCGGUCUCCUCCUAAAGAGUAACGGAGGAGCACGAAGGUUGGCUAAUCCUGGUCGGACAUCAGGAGGUUAGUGCAAUGGCAUAAGCCAGCUUGACUGCGAGCGUGACGGCGCGAGCAGGUGCGAAAGCAGGUCAUAGUGAUCCGGUGGUUCUGAAUGGAAGGGCCAUCGCUCAACGGAUAAAAGGUACUCCGGGGAUAACAGGCUGAUACCGCCCAAGAGUUCAUAUCGACGGCGGUGUUUGGCACCUCGAUGUCGGCUCAUCAC